CCUACGGGUGGCAGCAGUGGGGAAUAUUGGACAAUGGGGGGAACCCUGAUCCAGCCAUGCCGCGUGUGUGAAGAAGGCCCUCGGGUUGUAAAGCACUUUCAGUGAGGAAGAACGCCUGGUGGUUAAUACCCAUCAGGAAAGACAUCACUCACAGAAGAAGCACCGGCUAACUCCGUGCCAGCAGCCGCGGUAAUACGGAGGGUGCGAGCGUUAAUCGGAAUUACUGGGCGUAAAGCGCGCGUAGGUGGCUUGAUAAGCCGGUUGUGAAAGCCCCGGGCUCAACCUGGGAACGGCAUCCGGAACUGUCAAGCUAGAGUGCAGGAGAGGAAGGUAGAAUUCCCGGUGUAGCGGUGAAAUGCGUAGAGAUCGGGAGGAAUACCAGUGGCGAAAGCGGCCUUCUGGACUGACACUGACACUGAGGUGCGAAAGCGUGGGUAGCAAACAGGAUUAGAUACCCUGGUAGUC
Molecule: ribosomal RNA, 465 nt
Filed under: Vreelandella stevensii
Lineage: Bacteria; Pseudomonadati; Pseudomonadota; Gammaproteobacteria; Oceanospirillales; Halomonadaceae
Description: partial 16S ribosomal RNA
Rfam family: Bacterial small subunit ribosomal RNA
Source: RNAcentral